This 273-nucleotide ribosomal RNA is filed under the name uncultured bacterium. RNAcentral describes it as "partial 16S ribosomal RNA". The record is from RNAcentral.
CUGCUGCCUCCCGUAGGAGUUUGGACCGUGUCUCAGUUCCAAUGUGGGGGACCUUCCUCUCAGAACCCCUACGCAUCGUCGGCUUGGUGGGCCGUUGCCCCACCAACUACCUAAUGCGCCGCAUGCCCAUCCGUGACCGGAGUCGCCCCCUUUGGCCGGAAAGGGAUGUCCCUUCCCGGCGUCAUGCUGUAUUAGGCGGGAUUUCUCCCGGUUAUCCAUCUGUCACGGCCAGGUUGCAUACGUGUUACUCACCCGUGCGCCGGUCGCCGGCGG